Molecule: long non-coding RNA, 170 nt
Organism: Aquila chrysaetos chrysaetos
Lineage: Eukaryota; Metazoa; Chordata; Aves; Accipitriformes; Accipitridae
Exons: 4
Source: RefSeq, a predicted model, not a curated record
GCUAGUACUGGACCUAUGAAGUGGGAAAGGGGGCCUGGGAUCUGGGCAGGGAAACAGACAGAGGGGCCAUGCCAGUACUUGGGGAUCUGCAAAUGUGGGUGUGCUUGUGAAUCUACGGUGUCGUGUGUGUGCUUUCACCAGUGAACUUCAAUCCUGACCAGCUGAAGAGG